This 71-nucleotide transfer RNA is filed under the name Loxodonta africana (African savanna elephant). It matches the Rfam family "tRNA". From Rfam's summary of the family: Transfer RNA (tRNA) molecules are approximately 80 nucleotides in length. The record is from Rfam by way of RNAcentral. Lineage: Eukaryota; Metazoa; Chordata; Mammalia; Proboscidea; Elephantidae.
GCCUUGGCGGUUCAGUGGUAGAAUUCUUGCCUUCCAUGUGGGAGACCCAGGUUUUGUUCCUGGCCAGUGUA